GACGAACGCUGGCGGCGUGCUUAACACAUGCAAGUCGAACGGAAAGGCCCUGCUUUUGUGGGGUGCUCGAGUGGCGAACGGGUGAGUAACACGUGAGUAACCCGACCUUGACUUUGGGAUAACUUCAGGAAACUGGGGCUAAUACCGGAUAGGAGCUCCUGCUGCAUGGUGGGGGUUGGAAAGUUUCGGCGGUUGGGGAUGGACUCGCGGCUUAUCAGCUUGUUGGUGGGGUAGUGGCUUACCAAGGCUUUGACGGGUAGCCGGCCUGAGAGGGUGACCGGCCACAUUGGGACUGAGAUACGGCCCAGACUCCUACGGGAGGCAGCAGUGGGGAAUAUUGCACAAUGGGCGGAAGCCUGAUGCAGCAACGCCGCGUGCGGGAUGACGGCCUUCGGGUUGUAAACCGCUUUCGCCUGUGACGAAGCGUGAGUGACGGUAAUGGGUAAAGAAGCACCGGCUAACUACGUG
RNAcentral lists this ribosomal RNA (468 nucleotides) under uncultured bacterium. Its description in RNAcentral is "partial 16S ribosomal RNA". It matches the Rfam family "Bacterial small subunit ribosomal RNA", at positions 28 to 507 of the family's 1533-position model. The record is from RNAcentral.